ACACUGCAGGCAAGAAUGGGCAAGUGCAUCAGCCCCACAGCAUGGAAAUGGGAGGGAGUCUGCGCCUUGCCCCUGCAAGUGUCCACCUGCUCAGGUACAGGCAUUUGGCCACCCACUUGGUCCAUACGCAUCCAGAGUGU
This 140-nucleotide long non-coding RNA is filed under the name Oreochromis niloticus (Nile tilapia). Its description in RNAcentral is "lncRNA (ENSONIG00000025148.2)". The record is from RNAcentral. Lineage: Eukaryota; Metazoa; Chordata; Actinopteri; Cichliformes; Cichlidae.